AACGAACGCUGGCGGCAUGCCUAACACAUGCAAGUCGAACGAAACCUUCGGGUCUAGUGUCGCACGGGUGCGUAACGCGUGGGAAUCUACCCUCAGGUUCGGACUACCUCAGAGAAAUUUGAGCUAAUACCGGAUGAUGACGUAAGUCCAAAGAUUUAUCGCCUGAGGAUGAGCCCGCGUAGGAUUAGGUAGUUGGUUAGGUAAAGGCUCACCAAGCCGACGAUCCUUAGCUGGUCUGAGAGGAUGAUCAGCCACACUGGGACUGAGACACGGCCCAGACUCCUACGGGAGGCAGCAGUGGGGAAUAUUGGACAAUGGGCGAAAGCAUGAUGCAGCAAUGCCGGGUGAGUGAUGAAGGCCUUAGGGUUGUAAAGCUCUUUUAACCGGGAUGAUAAUGACAGUACCGGGAGAAUAAGCGCCGGCUAACUCCGUG
Molecule: ribosomal RNA, 433 nt
Filed under: uncultured bacterium
Lineage: Bacteria
Description: partial 16S ribosomal RNA
Rfam family: Bacterial small subunit ribosomal RNA
Source: RNAcentral